RNAcentral lists this ribosomal RNA (936 nucleotides) under uncultured eubacterium WCHA1-16. RNAcentral describes it as "bacterial SSU rRNA". It matches the Rfam family "Bacterial small subunit ribosomal RNA", at positions 524 to 1482 of the family's 1533-position model. Lineage: Bacteria; Candidatus Microgenomatota. The record is from RNAcentral.
UACAGAAUCCUCAAGCGUUACCCGGAUUUAUUGGGCGUAAAGGGUCCGUAGGUGGUAAAGUAAGUUGAAAGUUAAAACUCAUCGGCUUAACCUUUGAGGUGCUUUCAAUACUGCUAUACUAGAGGAUGUUAGGGGUUAACGGAACCGACGGAGUAGGGGUGAAAUCCGUUGAUAUCGUCGGGAACACCAAAAGCGAAGGCAGUUAACUAGGACAAUCCUGACACUGAGGGACGAAAGCGUGGGGAGCAAAAAGGAUUAGAUACCCUUGUAGUCCACGCUGUAAACGAUGAUUACUGGCUAUGUGAAGUGUCGACCCUUCACGUGGCGAAGCUAACGCGUUAAGUAAUCCGCCUGGGAAGUACGGUCGCAAGACUAAAACUCAAAGGAAUAGACGGGGACUCACACAAGCGGUGGACCAUGUGGCUUAAUUCGACAACAAACGAAGAACCUUACCAGGUCUAGAAAUCUGCAUGAAAGCCCUAAGAAACUAGGGCCCCUCACAAGGCAUGCAGACAGGUGCUGCAUGGUUGUCGUCAGUUCGUGUCUUGAGACGUACCGUUAAUUCGGGUAACGAACGCAACCCUUGCCCUGUGUUUUAAAUGUCACAGGGGACUGCCCGAGAUAAUUGGGAGGAAGGCGAGGAUGACGCCAAAUCAGCAUGGCCCUUUGAUGACCUGGGCCGCACACGUGGUACAAUGGCUGGUACAAUGCGCUUCGAUGCCGUAAGGCGGAGAUAAUCGCACCAAAACCAGUCUCAGUUCGGAUUGAGGUCUGAAACCCGACCUCAUGAAGCUGGAAUCGCUAGUAAUCGCCAAUCAGCUACGUGGCGAUGAAUACGUUCCUGAGUCUUGUACUCACCGCCCGUCAAGCCAAGCGAGCUGGGGAUAGCCGAAGUUCCUCGCAAGAGGGCCUAAGCUAGAUUCAGUAAGAGGGGCU